RNAcentral lists this small RNA (750 nucleotides) under Histoplasma ohiense. RNAcentral describes it as "hypothetical lncRNA". Lineage: Eukaryota; Fungi; Ascomycota; Eurotiomycetes; Onygenales; Ajellomycetaceae. The record is from RNAcentral.
AUAUCGCGCGAGCGAGUUUAACAAGGAACGACUUCAUCGAGCGCGAAUGACGCCGGGAAGGAUGUACGAGAGAGAACCCACCUUGCAGACAGGCCAUGUUUAUUCCAGGCCGUGACUUGAUUCUGAUCUACGGGCCGUUUUAAAGACACACUUGAUUCGAAAAAUGGGCUCUUUAGACUGCUCAAUGGCCGAGGCAUCUCUUCACCUCCAAGCUGUUUACCAAUUACGGCCUGAUUAGUCCCUGAUUCUUGAUGGAAAUAUUACAAUACGAUACCCUUUAUCUGGGGAGGGCUUUGCAAGUUACUCAGAAUUAAGAAGAAGAAGAAGGUUUAGUCACAGCUAGAACUGCAGAGCAAUCGCAUACUACUUAUCAGAUCAUAUGAAACGCCGCAAUAGUGUUAGCAAUCACAGGAGUUAUAAGUUAUAACCGUCCACCGGCAGAUCAAGGGUAGAUAGACAUCGGAGAUGAUAUCUACCGCAUUCACGAGCAUAUCGCAGAAGUCGAACAGGUUUAAUCGUUGGAAAAAAAAAAAAAAAUUUUUUUUUGGCAGGUGGAUGGUUUAACAGUACAUUGUUGAAGAAGUAUAAGCGAAGGACCACUGAUUGGAGGACUGGAAAGAGUAGAAGCCGGGUGAGGCAGAUUGAAGUGCAUGAGUGCAGGGUCCUCUAUGGGCAGAUCAUUCAAUGGCUGGAUGUUGAAAAGCACAAGCGAAGCAUCGUCGACAGGCAGGGUAAAUGAAUCACAAGCAG